This is a long non-coding RNA of Herpailurus yagouaroundi (jaguarundi), 598 nucleotides long. RefSeq lists it as uncharacterized. NCBI's taxonomy places the organism in Eukaryota, Metazoa, Chordata, Mammalia, Carnivora, Felidae. The transcript is spliced from 4 exons. The record is from RefSeq and is a predicted model, not a curated record.
GUAGCCACAGGUUCGAUGUGGCUGGGGGGAAUCAAUGAACAGGGGGUUGGGACUUCCAACGGAGUGCCCUCUCUCUCUGUGGAGGAGCAGUGAAGUUCAGCAGAGGGUACACAGCUUGCAGUCAGGUUGGGAUGUUUGGCUUUGGGGUCAGCAUGACUUUGGAUUAAAGGAGGGCUUGCUUUUGCACCAGUGGUUGGCACUGAGCACCACCCCACGCUGACCCAAGGACACCUGCUGGACCCCGACGACGGGACUCAGUGCCCUGCUCUUGCUGGAAGGCCGGCUCUUCAUUCGAAUCCAAUCCAAGAAGGUCCGAGGCUGAGAGACAAUGCAGGUUCAGACUCUGGUGGGAGAAGCAGGCCUGGGCAACAAGGUGCACUGCGUGGUCUUCUCACUCCCCUUGGAGGUAGAAAAGUAAGCCCCAUCACUGUUAAUCCAUCAUCACUGGAAGUCGAAGGAUGGGUAAGGAUGAAACAGGUGAUAAAAUCAGCAUUGGAGACAGGGAAGACAAGGCAUGCUCCAAUGAAGUGAAAAGAAUUAAAAUCCCUCUGUAACCAUUGUUAGAACAAUCCUGCAUAAAUCAAAGAUAUUUUAAGAA